AGUGAACGCUGGCGGUAGGCCUAACACAUGCAAGUCGAACGGCAGCACAGUAAGAGCUUGCUCUUACGGGUGGCGAGUGGCGGACGGGUGAGGAAUACAUCGGAAUCUACUUUUUCGUGGGGGAUAACGUAGGGAAACUUACGCUAAUACCGCAUACGACCUACGGGUGAAAGCAGGGGAUCUUCGGACCUUGCGCGAUUGAAUGAGCCGAUGUCGGAUUAGCUAGUUGGCGGGGUAAAGGCCCACCAAGGCGACGAUCCGUAGCUGGUCUGAGAGGAUGAUCAGCCACACUGGAACUGAGACACGGUCCAGACUCCUACGGGAGGCAGCAGUGGGGAAUAUUGGACAAUGGGCGCAUGCCUGAUCCAGCCAUACCGCGUGGGUGAAGAAGGCCUUCGGGUUGUAAAGCCCUUUUGUUGGGAAAGAAAAGCAGCAGGUUAAUACCCCGCUAUUCUGACGGUACCCAAAGAAUAAGCACCGGCUAACUUCGUG
RNAcentral lists this ribosomal RNA (492 nucleotides) under uncultured bacterium. Its description in RNAcentral is "partial 16S ribosomal RNA". It matches the Rfam family "Bacterial small subunit ribosomal RNA", at positions 29 to 507 of the family's 1533-position model. The record is from RNAcentral.